GAAUAUUACCGGAUUUGGUUUAGCACAGAGGAAUUAAAAAAAUUCCUACGGUUAAUUUUACCAUUUAUUCCGGUUCCGAGCAUGAUUAGAAAAGUCUUAAUAAUUUAUGAGAAUCCCGAACUUCAACAACGCUGAAUCUCUGAAAUGAAAAAUCUCGCUCCUCAUUAUUCUAAAAAUAUCGAUGAGGAACUGGUUAAGAAAAAGCAGAGAAUGAUAUAGUCCAAUUUGGCAUUAGCCAAUUUGACCCUUGUAGUCCACGCCCUAAACGAUGAGUGCUAGAUAUUAGAAACUUGAUUUUCAGUGUCGCUAGAUAACUCGGUAAGCACUCCGCCUGGGUAGUACGCUCGCAAGAGUGAAACUCAAAGGAAUUGACGGGGACUCGCACAAGCACUGGAGCAUGUGGUUUAAUCCGAUGCAACGCGUAGAACCUUACCAAGGCUUGACAUGUUUGGCAAAACUGUGGAAACACAGCGGAGGUUAUCCAAACACAGGUGCUGCAUGGCCGUCGUCAGUUCGUGCCGUGAGGUGUAUGGUUAAGUCCUAUAACGAACGCAACCCUUGGGCUUAGUUGCCAGCAUUAAGUUGGGGACUCUAGGCCGAACUGCCUGAGUAAUCAGGAGGAAGGAAAGGAUGACGUUCUGGUCG
RNAcentral lists this ribosomal RNA (645 nucleotides) under Candidatus Moeniiplasma glomeromycotorum. RNAcentral describes it as "bacterial SSU rRNA". It matches the Rfam family "Bacterial small subunit ribosomal RNA", at positions 567 to 1192 of the family's 1533-position model. The record is from RNAcentral. Lineage: Bacteria; Bacillati; Mycoplasmatota; Mollicutes; Mycoplasmatales; Mycoplasmataceae.